UUAAUCGAAUAUGAAGUGUAUAUCUUCAUUGUUUUAGCAAAAUCAAGAGCAUUUACUCAAGUUUUUCAGGUACAGAUGGGGUCUAAUUAUACGCUGGUCAAAAGUAAACACUACAAUGUCCAUAGUCUAUCAUGGUGGCGCUAAUUACAUGUUUUCAGUGUGUUUUGGCAAUUGCGAGCCAGGAAAUCCGUAUAACUAAACAUGUGAAAAUUCUUCAGACAUCUCGAGUAGAUCUGAAUGAAUUCUGAAUUAAUUUUGUAGCAAUAUAAUGAUCUAAAUAUUUGUGGAUUUGACGGUGAAGGUUAAACGAGUGUAAAGGUGCGAACAGAGCGAGUGGUUCGCGGUCGAUGUCGACAGCACAUAACAAAGGGAUAACCUGCGAUAUUCGGUCUUAAUUAAUCUGCUAUAGGCCUCUAUAAUGACUAUUCACCUUUUAUCAGAUCGAUGUAAACCUGGAUGGUAUCACUUCAAACAUCCACCGCGACAUUCUUCUUUUGUUUUCUUCCAUUCACUCAAAUGUGUCUGAUGAAAUCGAUCGGGGCCGUUUUUUAGUUCAUUGAAACGGUGGUGGUAUUCUCCUAGAAUGUUUCUUCUAUUUAUUGGGUGGAAUGAAAACCUCUUGUUAGGUAAAUUUCGUAUCAUCCACCAUUUAGUUUCCGCUGACAUUUCAUCACUUGUAUCAAACAACACUGCACGAAAUACAGGAUUUUUUAUUUUGAUUAACGCACAACACCUUUACCGAGACCCCCUUGUUCUGUUCGUACCCUAAGAAAGUUGAAUUGUGUACUCUAUUUUCCCUUUACCCACCAAAAUGAACACCCAGUUUUACCAGGAUAUCCGCUAAUUUACUUAGUUUAUACAAAUAUGUGCAUAAAGGUGAAAUUUGGUGUUUUCUAAAAUUAGAAGCCGAUUUUUGGUAAAAUUUUGAUAAUUUCUGGAACCAACAGAAUAUUCCGCUACAGUCCACAAUGAAAUAUUAAUAAAACUAGAAUAAAUUUUUUUUCACUAUCCACUAAACAUCAUCCAUUUCUUCAUACCUACAGCUAUUCUAAGUUUAUCUUUCUUAUCUACCCUAUAUAAAAGUUCACGUAUGUAUGUCAUGUUAAAUAGUUGUUAAACAAGAUUUUUUACUUGUUUUUUAUUCAUUAUUUUGAAAUAAUAAUAUUAAAAAAAUUGUUGAUGUAUAAAAUUCCGAAUGUCUCCAUUCAAAAACAGAAAACGAAUACAAAUAUAUAUAAUGUUAGUUUUUAUUCACCCUAUUAUGGCAAUGUUUAUUAUUUUCAUAAAAUCCAUUAAAAAAAAUUCCAAUGUGCAUGCAUUUCAGGAUAAGAUUCUCCAGUAUAAGGCAAGGAAAAGGAAAAGGUGUCAAAGUGAAAAAAGCAUGCCUAAAGUUGAUUUGCCGUUGUAUGAACUGCUGUUUUAUCUAGACCAAGGAAAUUUAGUUCUAUUUUAGGGAACAACACCAGAUUAUGGCUGAAUAAUUUGACAGACUUUCUGCUCUACGGCUCUAACGUAUAUCACAGAGUUAACUUGAAAAAUGAGACAACUAGGUAUGGGAGCUUGUUCGAAUGAGGCCGAACUUCUGGUGGAGACAGCAAGAACCACAAGGACUAUUCCACAAAGAAUAGGACGACCUACCUAACCAAAUCUGUUUGGUUUAUUUCAUAUAAAUAUCUCUUUAUAAGAUAAAAAAACAAAUUUGAGUAGCUUCUUAAAUUUGAAAAUAAUUAUGAGCAGAACAUGAGGACCGGUCCCAAAAAAUGAAAACGGAGCAUUAUAUCAACGAGGAAGUUAUACUGAAUGACUGAAAAAAGAAACGCUUCGAAUUUACGAAUUUCUUCGGUCUACUCUCAUCAUAAGUCUUUUCUUGCGAAUCUCAUGAAAACGAUUGAUCUUCAAGUAAAACCAUAUAAGCUAUAUACAGUUUUUGUCGAUCUUCUGAAGAAGAAAAAGACGAGAUCGUUUUGGUUGUUUAGUGUUCGACAGAUAUCUAAGAUCAUACCAUAGUUUGAAGAUUUAAUACCAAACAUAUAUUUCCUUAAGGGUUCCUCUGUGUUACAGGUUUUCUGCGAACAUGGUGAAUCUGUUCAUCAGCCAAAUGGCCAACAAAAGGGAAUAGUCGCAGUUUUAACCAAUUGGUCAAAAAGCUGCUUGGUUCAUUAAGCCAUUUUUUUCCAAAAUUAGAUUCCACGGGCGAUUAUAGACACUAGUGCCCUACGAAUCGAAGAAACCACAAAUCACCACAAUUCCUGCCCUACAAAGAAAAAUAUCCCACACGAUUUGUGACUAUUUCACCCUAAAAACACAUCCCAACGAGUCUCUCUCCUUAAGGGCUACCGUUGUUCAAUGUUUGAGAAAUUGGACAGCUAUCAAUGUUAAGUUUGAAGAUAUAGCCCACCCAGAAGACCAAAAAGGCAUUUGCAUAACGGUUAAGUUUCUUAACAUUCAGAUCAACAAAGCCAGUGGGAUUUUUUUUGAUAAAAUUGACUGAAAUGACACACAUAACCAUGAAAUAAAGCCGUUUUUUCUUAUCUAAAUUUUAUGUAUGCUCGUAGACGAGACAAAAAAGGUUUUGACAAUAUGUUUUCAAUCACAAGUUUGUCCUUAGGAGAGGGACAAUGCUAUGGUUUUUUUGUUGAUAAUGUCGUAAAUGCCCGUUCCCACGUGGCACUGCAUACGUAAUAUAUAAACGUGUAAGCAGUAAAGAACUAAGCAUUCUGUCACGAAUUUUCUGAUGUCUUGAUAUGUUCAAAAUGGUUAGCUGUAAAUUGAGUUAAUUAUUUUGAAAUUAUGUUUUUGUAGUGUAUUUAUUAUAUUGCAGUAAUAUUUGAUAAAAUAAUAAAAAAUAUCUGGCA
Molecule: long non-coding RNA, 2855 nt
Organism: Diorhabda carinulata
Lineage: Eukaryota; Metazoa; Arthropoda; Insecta; Coleoptera; Chrysomelidae
Exons: 2
Source: RefSeq, a predicted model, not a curated record